This 243-nucleotide ribosomal RNA is filed under the name uncultured Actinomycetales bacterium. RNAcentral describes it as "partial 16S ribosomal RNA". It matches the Rfam family "Bacterial small subunit ribosomal RNA", at positions 88 to 334 of the family's 1533-position model. Lineage: Bacteria; Bacillati; Actinomycetota; Actinomycetes; Actinomycetales. The record is from RNAcentral.
UGCUCGAGUGGCGAACGGGUGAGUAACACGUGGGUGAUCUGCCCUGCACUUCGGGAUAAGCUUGGGAAACUGGGUCUAAUACCGGAUAGGACCAUCGUUUAGUGUCGGUGGUGGAAAGUUUUUUCUGUGUGGGAUGAGCUCGCGGCCUAUCAGCUUGUUGGUGGGGUAAUGGCCUACCAAGGCGUCGACGGGUAGCCGGCCUGAGAAGGUGUACGGCCACAUUGGGACUGAGAUACGGCCCAG